UACGAAGGGGGCUAGCGUUGUUCGGAAUUACUGGGCGUAAAGCGCACGUAGGCGGAUUUGUAAGUCAGGGGUGAAAUCCCGGGGCUCAACCUCGGAACUGCCUUUGAUACUGCAAGUCUCGAGUCCGGAAGAGGUGAGUGGAAUUCCUAGUGUAGAGGUGAAAUUCGUAGAUAUUAGGAAGAACACCAGUGGCGAAGGCGGCUCACUGGUCCGGUACUGACGCUGAGGUGCGAAAGCGUGGGGAGCAGACAGG
This 253-nucleotide ribosomal RNA is filed under the name uncultured bacterium. RNAcentral's name for it is "partial 16S ribosomal RNA". It matches the Rfam family "Bacterial small subunit ribosomal RNA", at positions 524 to 776 of the family's 1533-position model. The record is from RNAcentral.